Molecule: ribosomal RNA, 462 nt
Filed under: uncultured Vibrio sp.
Lineage: Bacteria; Pseudomonadati; Pseudomonadota; Gammaproteobacteria; Vibrionales; Vibrionaceae
Description: bacterial SSU rRNA
Rfam family: Bacterial small subunit ribosomal RNA
Source: RNAcentral
UCGAGCGGAAACGAGUUAUCUGAACCUUCGGGGAACGAUAACGGCGUCGAGCGGCGGACGGGUGAGUAAUGCCUGGGAAAUUGCCCUGAUGUGGGGAUAACCUUGGAAACUGGCUAAUACCGCAUAAUAGCUUCGGCUCAAAGAGGGGGACCUUCGGGCCUCUCGCGUCAGGAUAUGCCCAGGUGGGAUUAGCUAGUUGGUGAGGUAAGGGCUCACCAAGGCAACGAUCCCUAGCUGGUCUGAGAGGAUGAUCAGCCACACUGGAACUGAGACACGGUCCAGACUCCUACGGGAGGCAGCAGUGGGGAAUAUUGCACAAUGGGCGCAAGCCUGAUGCAGCCAUGCCGCGUGUAUGAAGAAGGCCUUCGGGUUGUAAAGUACUUUCAGCAGUGAGGAAGGUUCAUGCGUUAAUAGCGUAUGGAUUUGACGUUAGCUGCAGAAGAAGCACCGGCUAACUCCGUG